This is a long non-coding RNA of Aethalodelphis obliquidens (Pacific white-sided dolphin), 456 nucleotides long. RefSeq lists it as uncharacterized. NCBI's taxonomy places the organism in Eukaryota, Metazoa, Chordata, Mammalia, Artiodactyla, Delphinidae. The transcript has 2 exons. The record is from RefSeq and is a predicted model, not a curated record.
GGAGCCUGGACGUCAGGGUGAUGCUUGGACGCGAGGGGAGGACUGCGGGGCAGGUGCCAAGGCUUGCACUGACUGGGGAGGGACAGAUUGUUGACAGACGGCCAAAAAGCCAGAGCAAAGCACCAGUCUGUGGCAUUCGAGAGGUGCCCUGAUGACAACCGUGGUGGCUAAGAACUAAAGGAGAAAUGCUGAGCCCUCGAGGGCGGGGGUGGCCCGGACACGGCGCCUGCCAACUGGGCGCACCCUCUCAUCUGGAUCCCUGUUCUCCACUCACCCAAGGCUCUGUUCUGCUGAGGACUUGCCAUUUUCUAGAUGCUGAAGUUUGAGCAGGAGAGGCCUCAAGAAGACACUGGACCUAGCCCCAGCCUUAAGCCAGCUGAGAUGGGUGGCUGGUCUGAGCACAAGCAGCUGCAAGGUGGCAGAGACAAAAUUAAAAUUAACCUGAUGUGUGGACUC